AGGUGAGAUUUCUUCGCCUAUUGGAUCCUUUUCCUGCUUUGGGCCACGCAAGAUUCUUUGCUUGUGCUUUUUGAGGAUAGCUGCAGCUUUCUCGCUGCGUUAUUUUUCGUGUGCUGCCUGGGUGAAACUUGAACUGGGUCAGAUUCUCUUUUGGCAAAGAUUGCUAGUUAUUUCUUAUACUGUCAUCUUGGCACCCAGUUUUGAACUGGGUCCAUUUUUUCUGUUAAAAAUCCAGCGGUACAUAGGAGCAAAUGGUUGAUGGGUGUUGAUUAUGUUACUUGUUUUUUUAGGUUAUAAUUUGGGGCCGUGAUUAGCAAUCAUAUUCAAUGGUGUUUUAGUGUUGGAUGAUAGAAUUGAGGUUUUGAUUGUGUAUAUUAUUUCCUGGUUUCAUCUUUAUAUACUCCUGAGGCAUGGCGGGGAUUGAUAUUUCAAAAUAUUUCCAUAGUCCUGUGCACAAGGCCAUUGCAACGAGAGAUUAUGCCAGUCUCAGGAAGAUACUUGCUGGCCUUCCACGACUUUGUGACCCCGCUGAGAUUCGGACAGAGGCGGUCUCAUUGGUCGAGGAAGAGAACGCUGAUGCCAUCUCUGCUGUGGUUGAUAGGCGUGAUGUCCCAAACCGUGACACUCCUCUUCACUUGGCUGUCAAAUUGGGAGAUGAGACUGCAACCGAGAUGCUUAUGGUUGCUGGUGCUGAUUGGAGCUUGCAGAAUGAGCUGGGGUGGAGUCCACUUCAAGAAGCCAUUUGCAAUAGAGAAGAAGGGAUAGCAAUGAUCAUAGUAAGGCACUACCAGCCAUUGGCUUGGGCAAAAUGGUGUAGGAGGUUGCCUCGUUUGGUGGGGACCAUGCGAAGGAUGAGAGACUUCUAUAUGGAAAUUACGUUCCAUUUUGAGAGUUCUGUCAUACCUUUCAUUUCAAGGAUUGCACCUUCAGAUACUUACAAAAUUUGGAAGAGAGGUGCAAAUUUGAGGGCAGACAUGACUUUGGCUGGUUUUGAUGGUUUUCGGAUUCAGCGAUCAGAUCAGAGUAUACUGUUCUUUGGCGAUGGCUCUGAGGAUGGGAAAGUCCCUCCUGGAUCACUUUGCAUGGUCUCACAUAAGGAGAAGGAGGUGAUGAAUGCUUUGGAUGGUGCUGGUUCUCCAGCAACUGAAGAAGAGGUUCGGCAAGAGGUGACUGCAAUGUCUCAGACUAAUAUAUUCAGGCCUGGAAUUGAUGUGACCCAGGCAGUUCUUUUGCCUCAGUUGACUUGGAGACGGCAGGAAAAAACAGAACUAGUGGGCCUAUGGAAAUCAAAGGUCUAUGAUAUGCACAAUGUGGUUGUUAGCAUCAAAUCUAGAAGGGUCCCAGGGGCAAUGACAGAUGAUGAGUUCUUCUCAUCCUGCAAUGAGAAUGAAACAGAGAGUGAGGAGCUUAAUGACAUUUUGACAGAAGAAGAAAGGAGGCAACUUGAAGUUGCCCUUAAAUUGGAUUCAUCGGAAUUGACCAAUGAGAAUGGUGACGGGAUUAUUGCUCAUCGUCAUAGCUGUUAUGAACAUAGAGAGAUUCCUAUUGAAGAUGGGAAUAGUUGUAGAAAUGGAGAGACUAAACAGGAAAAGAAAGGAUGGUUUGGUGGAUGGAGGAAACGAGAUUCUAAAGUUGAAGGGCAGAAGAAAAUUGUUCCACCAAGAAGUUCUCUUUGUGUUGAUGAGAAGGUGAGUGACUUACUAGGGGACUCGCCAUCUGGAAGUCAGACUAAACCAGGAAGACAUUCUGUCGAGAUUGUUGUGAGGGAUGAGCACCGGAAAGGAAGAGAUACCAAGAUAUCUACUUCUUCGAGUAUUGAGAGCAGUAAUCGUCGCAGGGAAGGAAGCCGUGAGAAUGAAUAUAAAAAGGGAUUGAGGCCAACUCUUUGGCUUUCACCAAACUUCCCAUUACAAACUGAGGAACUUCUUCCAUUGCUUGACAUCCUUGCAAAUAAGGUUAAGGCAAUUCGUCGUUUAAGAGAGCUGCUUACAACGAAACUUCCAAUGGGAACCUUUCCUGUGAAGGUUGCUAUCCCAGUGGUACCCACCAUCAGAGUAUUGGUUACAUUCACGAAGUUUGAAGAAUUACAGCCACUGGAUGAAUUUGCAACGCCUCCUUCAAGUCCUACAGCUGCUGGACGAGAAAGCCCAGCAGUGACACAGUCCUCAAGUUCAUCCUGGUUUCAGUGGAUAAAAGCUCCUUACCAUCGCCCUAGCGCAUCAGCUGGUGGUUCUAGCAGUAGGAUAGAGAACAUUCAGGACCCAUUUGUUAUUCCUCCUGAUUAUACAUGGAUUUCAGCUGAAGCAAAGAAAAAGAAGAUGCAGGAGAAAAACAAAUCGAAAAAGGCAAAAAGUCAGAAUCAUUGAAGUGGGUUUGUGAGUGAAUCAAAAUGUAAAAGAGGUUUUAGCUUGCACAAAGAACUCAGCAAGUACCAAAUAGGGCAUAGUGUUUCAUAAGAACAUGAAAUUGUGAUACUAUAACGGAAAAAGAUUGAUCCCUUUAUGGAGGGAGAUUUGGUAUAUCAUUGUGGGGGGUGGAAAGAAAGAAAGGAAUAUUAUGAUUCGUGCAACAAUUGCUCGCCUUCAGUGGAUGUGUACGCCAUUGAGAUUGCUUUGAUUCAUUUUCUUCUUAUGUGUGACUGAUUUGUUAACUCCUACAAUACUGACUGACAAAAAUGUAGAGUAUAUCAUGAGCCAUCUUUCAUCUUAUUUACAGCCUCAGACUUUCAUGUCAUUCUUCUGGAGCUAUUUUCGUGACUUUCACAAUUUACAUUUUUGUUCAUAGCGUUGUGAGUUUUCUUUUGUGAAAAUUCAUGGAUUUUACUUGUCCUAGGGGAUUCCUUGUGUUUUUAGUAUCUAAAGGUCAGGUUUAAUUGUAAAUGGUAGUGAAGAGUAGACAAACAAUUUCAACAUGAAAGUUGAUUCUACAGUUUACAAUGUAAUAAAAUGAAAUGAACUUUUAUAAGUUUUUGGCUCAUAGCAUAGAUCUUUGAACUCCCACAUUAAGGACUGGUGAGUAGUUAUUUGGAGCUUCAUCAUCUCUGUACCUGGUGAGUAGUUAAAAGAAGUUUGUCUCAAACGUCCCACGAGCUCCUUUUUUAAACUAAAUUUCUAGAGUUUAUUGUAGAGAACGAAAAAGAAAGAAAGAAAUAAUAAAGACGCUACUACUUGCAAACCAGUGGAAUCGAUUUCAUUUUAGUGACUUCUUUACAUUUUGAUUUUCUUCUGCACAUUUUUCUGUUUUCAAUGUGCUAGAGCUUGCUAAAUUGAAUGGCUUCAGUCUGAUUGCAGCAGGAGGCUAGAAUGUGAAUACUGUCAAAUGUUAUCCACCUGCUCUCUUUCCUCAAUCAGAAUACAAUUGUUGGUGGAAGUAACAUAUAUUUAUUUACGAACUUUUUGGCAUUUGGCAUAUAAGCACGGGAAGUUUCUGGAGGUGGCCGGGUGGGAAAUUGUUGCCAAUAACCAGCACUUUGUGGGAAAGCUGAUGAUAAUAUGAGAUAUAUACUUGAACAACUUGUGUUUAGAAAACUUUCGGUUGGGUUGGCCAUCCAAAUGAAAGUUUGCUUAGUUUUUACUUUAGAGCAGGCGAUCCCUGGCUUAGCUUCUCUUUUCUUGGAGGAAUUCUUGCUUCAUUGAAUUGUACAAAUACAAGAGUUUCUUACUCCUUCGAGUUCCCCGUCUUCAGACAAGCUUGGCUCAAACUCAUGAACAUGAGCAAUAUCAUUGCCAUGAGCAUCAGGCCAACUCACUUUCCUCUUUCCUGUUCUUGAUUGAUUAAUUUCCUCCACUGUUGUGGUUCUCUUGAGAUUACUCUUGAGAGUUGGGGGUUCGAUGUGAGGCCCAUUAGACCCACCGCUUCUACCGUUGCUCCCACCAUUGCUCUUUUCUUGACCUUGUGAUUCAUGAUUAUUAGAGACUUCUUCCAUGACCCCAUCUGUCUUUUCUUCAAGAAUUUGGUUCUUGGCAUUGUUGCUUCUGUUGUUUUCUUCCCCUUUAGUGCUAAAGCUCCUUGAAGGUGCAUAGCACGAGCGCACUAGAGCUGUGCACCUAUUCUGCGCCGAGGCCGCCAGGAGUACGGUAAACAAGGUUAAACUCUCUUUAUCGAUAUAUUGUUUUCCUUUUCUUGAUACUACGAACAGUCUCUUGGAGCUAUGUGUGCAAUAUUGGAUUGGUUUGUUCCAGAUCAAACAAAUGAAAUCAAUGGAGAGAAUCUGUAUAAUGUUAAAACGGUAUAUGUGGGUUAUCUCCAAAUGAUUAUGAGUGUUUUGCUUUGCAUCUAACAAAGCGGAUGGAGAUGACCUUAUUUUUUGAGGUGGGGUUGUGUUGGGUUCUCAGGUUGGGGAAAGACGGUUGGAUAUUAGAAGAAGGUGCUAAACUGCUAAUCAUGGACAUGCCCUCCACCCACUUAC
Molecule: unclassified non-coding RNA, 4408 nt
Filed under: Hevea brasiliensis (rubber tree)
Lineage: Eukaryota; Viridiplantae; Streptophyta; Magnoliopsida; Malpighiales; Euphorbiaceae
Source: RNAcentral